UACGUAGGGUCCGAGCGUUGUCCGGAAUUACUGGGCGUAAAGGGCGCGUAGGCGGCCUGCUAAGUCGGACGUGAAAUCCCCGGGCUUAACCCGGGAACUGCGUCCGAUACUGGUGGGCUUGAAUCCGGGAGAGGGAUGUGGAAUUCCAGGUGUAGCGGUGAAAUGCGUAGAUAUCUGGAGGAACACCGGUGGCGAAGGCGGCAUCCUGGACCGGUAUUGACGCUGAGGCGCGAAAGCCAGGGGAGCAAACGGG
Molecule: ribosomal RNA, 253 nt
Filed under: uncultured bacterium
Lineage: Bacteria
Description: partial 16S ribosomal RNA
Rfam family: Bacterial small subunit ribosomal RNA
Source: RNAcentral